CGGUGGGUGCAUGAAUUUGCAGUUUGGACAAGUAGGGGAUGACUUGCACAGCAUUAUCAACAUGUGACACCUCAUACAAACCGUUGCAAUCAUCUCCUUCUGAUCUCCGUCUGAUGAGAGCCACGAUGGAGGUCGACUUAAAGCACCUGAAUCAUCCAUUUUAUCACACUUGCUUGAUUCAAUCAGCAGAUCAUGCUCACCAAAAGUGCCCCUGGUCGAACCACAGUUCUUCUCAUUUAUGUCAUAGCUUUCUUCUUUUUUCUUCAGUGACAGCUCCAGGUCCAGGCUCAUUUGACCAAGUGAUGAUGCUUUAGGAUCAGAGUUUCUCUCCAAAUCUGGUGUCUUCAUCAUACCCAUCCCUGCGUUGUUCAAGUGUAUCUGCCCUGACUGCAUCACAAUACUUCAGAUUAACUCGUUUCAACCAAAAUAAGUAGACAAAGCUCUAGAAAGCUUUGUAACAAGCAUUAGAUAACGAUAUCCUUAAACAUAAAUUUAAAAGCUUGAUCAAGAUGUUUGUGUGCAGAUUCAUCAGUAGAAAUUAAUCUUCAGAAGAAACACCCCAGUAGAAAGCUUUGUAUAAAGUUUAACACACACACACACACAUAUAUAAUAUCAAUAUUUAUGUAUAUAGUAUACCUGAAUAGUGAGGUAUUGUCGCAAUUUAUGCGAAGGUAAUGGUGUCUCGAGGUGAAGCUCUAUACCAAAGAUGGAUUUUCGUUUCUCUGCAUCAGUUGGGUGAAUCUUGAAGAAUUCUUCAGUGAGGGUCUCUUCUUGGCACUUUCUCUUUCUUGGUGGAGAUUCAAAUUCUGCAGGAACU
This 817-nucleotide long non-coding RNA is filed under the name Vigna radiata. Its description in RNAcentral is "long non-coding RNA (VRAD_LNC004957)". The record is from RNAcentral. Lineage: Eukaryota; Viridiplantae; Streptophyta; Magnoliopsida; Fabales; Fabaceae.